Molecule: ribosomal RNA, 148 nt
Filed under: Leptospira borgpetersenii serovar Ballum
Lineage: Bacteria; Pseudomonadati; Spirochaetota; Leptospiria; Leptospirales; Leptospiraceae
Description: partial 16S ribosomal RNA
Rfam family: Bacterial small subunit ribosomal RNA
Source: RNAcentral
CACACCGCCCGUGACACCAUGGGAGUGGGUUGCAAAAGAAGUAGGUAGCUUAACCUUCGGGAGGGCGCUUACCACUUUGUGAUUCAUGACUGGGGUGAAGUCGUAACAAGGUAACCGUAGGGGAACCUGCGGUUGGAUCACCUCCUUA